UAAAACUUUUAACAACGGAUCUCUUGGCUCUCGCAUCGAUGAAGAACGCAGCGAAAUGCGAUAAGUAAUGUGAAUUGCAGAAUUCAGUGAAUCAUCGAAUCUUUGAACGCACCUUGCGCUCCUUGGUAUUCCGAGGAGCAUGCCUGUUUGAGUGUCAUG
RNAcentral lists this ribosomal RNA (159 nucleotides) under Pleuropterus multiflorus (tuber fleeceflower). RNAcentral describes it as "Fallopia multiflora 5.8S ribosomal RNA". It matches the Rfam family "5.8S ribosomal RNA". Rfam says of the family: 5.8S ribosomal RNA (5.8S rRNA) is a component of the large subunit of the eukaryotic ribosome. It is transcribed by RNA polymerase I as part of the 45S precursor that also contains 18S and 28S rRNA. Lineage: Eukaryota; Viridiplantae; Streptophyta; Magnoliopsida; Caryophyllales; Polygonaceae. The record is from RNAcentral.